UGGGGAUUAUUGGACAAUGGGCGGAAGCCCGACCCAGCCAUGCUGCGUGUGUGAAGAAGGUCUUUUGGUUGUAAAGUACUUUAAGCGAGGAGGAGGCUCUUCUAGUUAAUACCUAGGAUGAGUGGACGUUACUCGCAGAAUAAGCACCGGCUAACUCUGUGCCAGCAGCCGCGGUAAUACAGAGGGUGCGAGCGUUAAUCGGAAUUACUGGGCGUAAAGCGCGCGUAGGUGGUUCGUUAAGUUGAAUGUGAAAGCCCCGGGCUCAACCUGGGAACUGCAUCCAAUGCUGGCGAGCUAGGAGACGGCAGAGGGUGGUUGAAAUUCCUAUGUAGCAGUGAAAUGCGUAGAUAUAGGAAGGCACGCCAGUCGCGAAGGCGACCACCUAGGAUCAUACUGACACUGAAGUGCGAAAGCGUGGGGAGCAAACAGG
RNAcentral lists this ribosomal RNA (430 nucleotides) under Pseudomonadota bacterium. RNAcentral's name for it is "Proteobacteria bacterium partial 16S ribosomal RNA". It matches the Rfam family "Bacterial small subunit ribosomal RNA", at positions 355 to 776 of the family's 1533-position model. The record is from RNAcentral. Lineage: Bacteria; Pseudomonadati; Pseudomonadota.